This 74-nucleotide transfer RNA is filed under the name Burkholderia ubonensis. RNAcentral's name for it is "tRNA-Gly". It matches the Rfam family "tRNA". From Rfam's summary of the family: Transfer RNA (tRNA) molecules are approximately 80 nucleotides in length. Lineage: Bacteria; Pseudomonadati; Pseudomonadota; Betaproteobacteria; Burkholderiales; Burkholderiaceae. The record is from RNAcentral.
GCGAGUGUAGUACAACGCUAGUUUCACAGCUUUCCAAGCUGAUGACGACGGUUCGACUCCCUUCACCCGCUCUA